UUGCUUUGCAUAUGAUAUCUUGCAGUAAUUUAGUAAUACCUUUCGAACACAUGAUUUUCAGUCUUUCAUGAGUUCGUCAGGUAUUAUCUAGUUAUUGUAAACAUUCAACUCGCUGGCGGAU
This 121-nucleotide microRNA precursor is filed under the name Drosophila simulans. Its description in RNAcentral is "dsi-miR-983". The stretch from base 16 to 104 matches the Rfam family "mir-983 microRNA precursor family". The record is from RNAcentral. Lineage: Eukaryota; Metazoa; Arthropoda; Insecta; Diptera; Drosophilidae.